This 429-nucleotide ribosomal RNA is filed under the name Chloroflexota bacterium. RNAcentral describes it as "Chloroflexi bacterium partial 16S ribosomal RNA". It matches the Rfam family "Bacterial small subunit ribosomal RNA", at positions 355 to 776 of the family's 1533-position model. Lineage: Bacteria; Bacillati; Chloroflexota. The record is from RNAcentral.
UGGGGAAUAUUGCACAAUGGGCGCAAGCCUGAUGCAGCCAUGCCGCGUGUGUGAAGAAGGCCUUCGGGUUGUAAAGCACUUUCAGCGGGGAGGAAGGGAGUAAAGUUAAUACCUUUGCUCAUUGACGUUACCCGCAGAAGAAGCACCGGCUAACUCCGUGCCAGCAGCCGCGGUAAUACGGAGGGUGCAAGCGUUAAUCGGAAUUACUGGGCGUAAAGCGCACGCAGGCGGUCUGUCAAGUCGGAUGUGAAAUCCCCGGGCUCAACCUGGGAACUGCAUUAGAAACUGGCAGGCUAGAGUCUUGUAGAGGGGGGUAGAAUUCCAGGUGUAGCGGUGAAAUGCGUAGAGAUCUGGAGGAAUACCGGUGGCGAAGGCGGCCCCCUGGACAAAGACUGACGCUCAGGUGCGAAAGCGUGGGGAGCAAACAGG